GGAGGUUUAGCUCAGUGGCAUAAGCACCUGCCUUGCAAGCAGGCAGUCCUGAGUUCAAUCCCCAGUACCGAUA
RNAcentral lists this transfer RNA (73 nucleotides) under Cavia porcellus (domestic guinea pig). It matches the Rfam family "tRNA". From Rfam's summary of the family: Transfer RNA (tRNA) molecules are approximately 80 nucleotides in length. Their secondary structure includes four short double-helical elements and three loops (D, anti-codon, and T loops). The record is from Rfam by way of RNAcentral. Lineage: Eukaryota; Metazoa; Chordata; Mammalia; Rodentia; Caviidae.